AUUGAACGCUGGCGGCAGGCUUAACACAUGCAAGUCGAGCGGGGGAAGGUAGCUUGCUACUGGACCUAGCGGCGGACGGGUGAGUAAUGCUUAGGAAUCUGCCUAUUAGUGGGGGACAACAUCUCGAAAGGGAUGCUAAUACCGCAUACGUCCUACGGGAGAAAGCAGGGGAUCUUCGGACCUUGCGCUCAUAGAUGAGCCUAAGUCGGAUUAGCUAGUUGGUGGGGUAAAGGCCUACCAAGGCGACGAUCUGUAGCGGGUCAGAGAGGAUGAUCCGCCGCACUGGGACUGAGACACGGCCCAGACUCCUACGGGAGGCAGCAGUGGGGAAUAUUGGACAAUGGGGGGAACCCUGAUCCAGCCAUGCCGCGUGUGUGAAGAAGGCCUUAUGGUUGUAAAGCACUUUAAGCGAGGAGGAGGCUACUUUAGUUAAUACCUAGAGAUAGUGGACGUUACUCGCAGAAUAAGCACCGGCUAACUCUGUGCCAGCCGCCGCAGUAA
RNAcentral lists this ribosomal RNA (501 nucleotides) under uncultured bacterium. Its description in RNAcentral is "partial 16S ribosomal RNA". It matches the Rfam family "Bacterial small subunit ribosomal RNA", at positions 30 to 523 of the family's 1533-position model. The record is from RNAcentral.